Molecule: long non-coding RNA, 681 nt
Organism: Micropterus salmoides (largemouth bass)
Lineage: Eukaryota; Metazoa; Chordata; Actinopteri; Centrarchiformes; Centrarchidae
Exons: 2
Source: RefSeq, a predicted model, not a curated record
UUUAAAGAUUAAGGUUGCUGUUAUUCUGUAUUUUUUGUGUUGUCAAAUAAUCAAUUUAUUAAGUAAACAGAUCUUAUUGAUACUGGAGGGUGUCACAGAUGUCCAAAUAGCCUACUUUCUAACGUUCCUAAGGUAAGCUGGUGAAUUUUUCUUUUGAUCAAGGCCAAGAGGUUUGGGUAGACACUUCAAGUGUACUGCAACACUUGACAACGUCUACUCAUAGUACCAUGUCUUCACCAUGCCCCAUGUAAAAAAAAUGUCGAUUUUAGGAUAACGGUUGUUUUUUCCCUGUGUUUCUCAUGUUGUCAUCUAAUCGUGUCAUUAAGAAAACAGAUUUGAAUGAAACUGGAUGGAGUCACAGACUUCAAACUACAAUCAAACGUCCUAAGGUAACCUGAUGAUUUUUAAUAUUGAUCAAGACCUAGAAGUUUGGUAGACAUCUCAAGUAUGUUGCUACAUUUCACUCACACUUGAUGACGUCUACUCAUGGUAGCAUGUCUUCACCAUACCGCAUGCAAAAUAAAUGUCUAUUUGAGGAGAAAAGUCCUUUUUUUCUGAUUUUUUUUCUUGUUUUCAGCAGAUCAGGUCAUUAAGAAAACAGAUUUGAAUUAAAUUGGACGGAGUCACGGGUUUUAAACUAGCAUCAAACGUUCCUAAGGUCAUUAAGUAAACAGAUUUGAA